Molecule: long non-coding RNA, 476 nt
Organism: Myotis davidii
Lineage: Eukaryota; Metazoa; Chordata; Mammalia; Chiroptera; Vespertilionidae
Exons: 2
Source: RefSeq, a predicted model, not a curated record
GCUCCUUAAAGGCGCAGGCCUGCAGCCUGGCUCCCGCGGCUGCCAACUCCGGGACGGCUGCCGCAGGUGCCCCUUUAAUCUGGGAGAGAACUUUCAUUUUGCCGAAUGGAGUGUCUGAGUCCCGACCAGCUCCUUACUCUACCGCAUUUCGAAUACGCGUUGACUUACUCCUGCUAGAGCAAAGCCUGGGACGCGGAGGGGGCUCGGUGGGACCUCCCCAACUUGGUAAAUAGAGUCACUGAGAGACCCACCCACGUACCCAGCAGUGUCGCCAGGCCCCUACAGGGACCCACUAACUCGUCCGCCAGUCUGUGCCCGACUUCUCUCACCGAGUCAGUGUCCUCUUGGUGUGAGGGAAGACAGGUAUCGGUGCCUCUCUAGGGAUAACUGCAGUCUGAGUUCGGAGACUCGGGAGGAAGGGGGGAAGUGAGAGCCCCAGAAAGCAACCGAGGCCCAGUUCCUGGGGACUGUGCAAA